Long non-coding RNA from Engraulis encrasicolus (European anchovy), 1037 nucleotides. RefSeq lists it as uncharacterized. Lineage: Eukaryota; Metazoa; Chordata; Actinopteri; Clupeiformes; Engraulidae. The record is from RefSeq and is a predicted model, not a curated record. The transcript is spliced from 6 exons.
UCUACACCAAGCCUUUAGGUGGCAGUACAACUAAUUCGCACAAUGCGAAUUCCACACACAAGCCACAAAGAAGCCAUCUACCGCGGUCAACAACACCGACCUAUCUGAACAGAACCACGCGCUGUCUGUGUGGUUUCACUGUUACAAGUUUCUUGGCGACAUGGGGGAAAGUUCCUCACAUACCAACGGAAAAUGGGCUUCACAUACAUGCUGCUGUCUCAUAAUAUGGCGAAGACGAGUCACUUGAAGGCCUAACAGCUCUUAUGAGGAGCAGUCUUGCCAUAGAAGACUGAAAGAAUGAGCUGUAGAAACAACAGGGUGCCUGCUGCAGUAUGACGAGGACGCCCUGAUCAUAGAAGGUCCAGUGUCUUGGCAGGGUGAAAUGGCACUGAUAUCGUGUCCUGCAGGAUGCUGUGUCCUGCAAUCCUGUGUGCUGUGCUACAGACGCGUGUGGAGGUCAACCCGAAAUGGGCACAGUAGCGUGAAAGAGGAUCCUGGCAGGGAGACGGUAGUGUCCUGCAGGAUGGUGAUGGGCAAUCUUACAAGAGACCACAGAAAACUGAUAUAGUCUCCCAGAAGUGAGACUGAGUGCCUGUUGCAGUAUGACGAGGAAGCAGUGACCAGAGACCUUCAGUAGACCCUGCUGGCAUGAUUGGCGGCUGAAGAACAUAAUCAACAGCAAUGUUUAUAAUAUUGUACAUACCUGUAUAGUCUGCACUAAAAUGCUGUACCUGUACUAUUUUUCCUCUUACUUUCAUAUUUACUAUGAAUUGACAACUUUUACUCAAAUCCAUUUUUGUAUGUGCCCUGACUAAAACUAUCCUUAAACCUAACCUGUCAGAGGUGUAAUAACAACCUGCUCUUAGCAAUGUGGCAGCAGUCUACUUGGAUGCAGCGGGGAACAUAGAACCCUUUUUUUGAAAAAGCAUUGUAUGUUUCUGAGUUUUAUGAAUUGUGCCCUUCCCAAACCUAACCUGUCGUAGGGGCCUAUGAAAUCCGUUUUUUUUUAAUUAUUAUUAUUUACAUUUUUGAACUUA